RNAcentral lists this ribosomal RNA (253 nucleotides) under uncultured bacterium. RNAcentral's name for it is "partial 16S ribosomal RNA". It matches the Rfam family "Bacterial small subunit ribosomal RNA", at positions 524 to 776 of the family's 1533-position model. The record is from RNAcentral.
UACAGAGGGGGCAAGCGUUGUUCGGAAUUACUGGGCGUAAAGGGCGCGUAGGCGGCUCGCUAAGUUGGAUGUGAAAACUCUGGGCUUAACCCAGAGCCUGCAUUCAAAACUGACGGGCUAGAGUUCUGGAGGGGAUAGCGGAAUUCCUGGUGUAGCGGUGAAAUGCGUAGAUAUCAGGAGGAACACCGGUGGCGAAGGCGGCUAUCUGGACAGAAACUGACGCUGAGGCGCGAAAGCUAGGGGAGCAAACAGG